RNAcentral lists this ribosomal RNA (497 nucleotides) under uncultured bacterium. Its description in RNAcentral is "partial 16S ribosomal RNA". It matches the Rfam family "Bacterial small subunit ribosomal RNA", at positions 28 to 507 of the family's 1533-position model. The record is from RNAcentral.
GACGAACGCUGGCGGCGUGCCUAAUACAUGCAAGUUGAGCGCUGAAGGUUGGUACUUGUACCAACUGGAUGAGCAGCGAACGGGUGAGUAACGCGUGGGGGAUCUGCCUUUGAGCGGGGGACAACAUUUGGAAACGAAUGCUAAUACCGCAUAAAAACUUUAAAUACAAGUUUUAAGUUUGAAAGAUGCAAUUGCAUCACUCAAAGAUGAUCCCGCGUUGUAUUAGCUAGUUGGUGAGGUAAAGGCUCACCAAGGCGAUGAUACAUAGCCGACCUGAGAGGGUGAUCGGCCACAUUGGGACUGAGACACGGCCCAAACUCCUACGGGAGGCAGCAGUAGGGAAUCUUCGGCAAUAGACGAAAGUCUGACCGAGCAACGCCGCGUGAGUGAAGAAGGUUUUCGGAUCGUAAAACUCUGUUGGUAGAGAAGAACGUUGGUGAGAGUGGAAAGCUCAUCAAGUGACGGUAACUACCCAGAAAGGGACGGCUAACUACGUG